AUACGAAGGGGGCUAGCGUUGUUCGGAAUAACUGGGCGUAAAGCGCACGUAGGCGGAAUGUUAAGUUAGAGGUGAAAUCCCAGGGCUCAACCCUGGAACUGCCUUUAAUACUGGCAAUCUAGAGAUCGAGAGAGGUGAGUGGAAUUCCGAGUGUAGAGGUGAAAUUCGUAGAUAUUCGGAGGAACACCAGUGGCGAAGGCGGCUCACUGGCUCGAUACUGACGCUGAGGUGCGAAAGCGUGGGGAGCAAACAGGAUUAGAAACCCUUGUAGUCC
Molecule: ribosomal RNA, 274 nt
Filed under: uncultured bacterium
Lineage: Bacteria
Description: partial 16S ribosomal RNA
Rfam family: Bacterial small subunit ribosomal RNA
Source: RNAcentral